GGCACGGUGGCGCAGUGGGUAGCACUAUUACUUCACAAGCAAGAAAGUGGGUUCAAAUCCCAGCUUGGCCC
RNAcentral lists this transfer RNA (71 nucleotides) under Anguilla anguilla (European eel). Its description in RNAcentral is "tRNA-OTHER". The record is from RNAcentral. Lineage: Eukaryota; Metazoa; Chordata; Actinopteri; Anguilliformes; Anguillidae.